This 541-nucleotide ribosomal RNA is filed under the name Klebsiella pneumoniae. RNAcentral describes it as "partial 23S ribosomal RNA". It matches the Rfam family "Bacterial large subunit ribosomal RNA", at positions 721 to 1259 of the family's 2925-position model. The record is from RNAcentral. Lineage: Bacteria; Pseudomonadati; Pseudomonadota; Gammaproteobacteria; Enterobacterales; Enterobacteriaceae.
CCCGGUGAUCUAGCCAUGGGCAGGUUGAAGGUUGGGUAACACUAACUGGAGGACCGAACCGACUAAUGUUGAAAAAUUAGCGGAUGACUUGUGGCUGGGGGGGAAAGGCCAAUCAAACCGGGAGAUAGCUGGUUCUCCCCGAAAGCUAUUUAGGUAGCGCCUCGUGAACUCAUCUUCGGGGGUAGAGCACUGUUUCGGCUAGGGGGUCAUCCCGACUUACCAACCCGAUGCAAACUACGAAUACCGAAGAAUGUUAUCACGGGAGACACACGGCGGGUGCUAACGUCCGUCGUGAAGAGGGAAACAACCCAGACCGCCAGCUAAGGUCCCAAAGUCAUGGUUAAGUGGGAAACGAUGUGGGAAGGCACAGACAGCCAGGAUGUUGGCUUAGAAGCAGCCAUCAUUUAAAGAAAGCGUAAUAGCUCACUGGUCGAGUCGGCCUGCGCGGAAGAUGUAACGGGGCUAAACCAUGCACCGAAGCUGCGGCAGCGACACUAUGUGUUGUUGGGUAGGGGAGCGUUCUGUAAGCCUGCGAAGGUGU